GCAGUAAAGUGGGGAAGGAAGUUAAGAGCUUUUUCUUGUUCACAUUCAGAAAAUCAAGAGUUGCUUCUGCAACAACUGGAUCUGCAAAUUCACGGCUCAAACAAACGAAAACAUGUCCUUAGACUGGGAUCAGCAUCAUGCAGAACCACCUCACCAAAGUCGAGGAAAAAUUGAAGAAUGGCCAGUAAGAGAAGUCCAUAAGAGGACUUGGAUU
This 214-nucleotide unclassified non-coding RNA is filed under the name Hevea brasiliensis (rubber tree). Lineage: Eukaryota; Viridiplantae; Streptophyta; Magnoliopsida; Malpighiales; Euphorbiaceae. The record is from RNAcentral.